GCAUAUCAAUAAGCGGAGGAAAAGAAACCAACAGGGAUUGCCCCAGUAACGGCGAGUGAAGCGGCAACAGCUCAAAUUUGAAAUCUGGCCUCGUGCCCGAGUUGUAAUUUGUAGAGGAUGCUUUUGGCGACGCGCCUUCCGAGUUCCCUGGAACGGGACGCCAUAGAGGGUGAGAGCCCCGUCCGGUCGUGCGCCUAGCCUCUGUAAAGCUCCUUCGACGAGUCGAGUAGUUUGGGAAUGCUGCUCUAAAUGGGAGGUAUACGUCUUCUAAAGCUAAAUACCGGCCAGAGACCGAUAGCGCACAAGUAGAGUGAUCGAAAGAUGAAAAGCACUUUGAAAAGAGGGUUAAAUAGUACGUGAAAUUGCUGAAAGGGAAGCGCUUAUGACCAGACUUGGGCGCGGCGGAUCAUCCGGCGUUCUCGCCGGUGCACUCCACCGCCCCAGGCCAGCAUCAGUUCGCGCCGGGGGACAAAGGCUUCGGGAAUGUGGCUCUCUCGGGAGUGUUAUAGCCCGCUGCGCAAUACCCUGGCGCGGACUGAGGUCCGCGCUCUGCAAGGAUGCUGGCGUAAUGGUCAUCAGUGACCCGUCUUGAAACACGGACCAAGGAGUCGUCUUCGUAUGCGAGUGUUCGGGUGUCAAACCCCUACGCGGAAUGAAAGUGAACGUAGGAGAGAGCUUCGGCGCAUCUCCGACCGAUCCUGAUGUUCUCGGAUGGAUUUGAGUAAGAGCAUACGGGGCCGGACCCGAAAGAAGGUGAACUAUGCCUGUGUAGGGUGAAGCCAGAGGAAACUACUGGUGGAGGCUCGCAGCGGUUCUGACGUGCAAAUCGAUCGUCAAACAUGGGCAUGGGGGGCGAAAGACUAAUCGAACCUUCUAGUAGCUGGUUUCCGCCGAAG
RNAcentral lists this ribosomal RNA (896 nucleotides) under Emericellopsis minima. Its description in RNAcentral is "LSU rRNA". It matches the Rfam family "Eukaryotic large subunit ribosomal RNA", at positions 38 to 966 of the family's 3401-position model. Lineage: Eukaryota; Fungi; Ascomycota; Sordariomycetes; Hypocreales; Bionectriaceae. The record is from RNAcentral.